Molecule: ribosomal RNA, 266 nt
Filed under: uncultured bacterium
Lineage: Bacteria
Description: partial 16S ribosomal RNA
Rfam family: Bacterial small subunit ribosomal RNA
Source: RNAcentral
GUCCACGCUGUAAACGAUGAGUGCUAGACGGUGGAGGUAUUGACCCCUUCGCUGCCGAAGCCAACGCGUUAAGCACUCCGCCUGGGGAGUACGGUCGCAAGACUAAAACUCAAAGGAAUUGACGGGGGCCCCGCACAAGCGGUGGAGCAUGUGGUUUAAUUCGACGCAACGCGCAAAACCUUACCUGGGUUAAAUCCGCCGGAAGCUGGCUGAAAGGCUGGUGUGCCCUUCGGGGAAUCGGCGAGAAGGUGCUGCAUGGCUGUCGU